UUAAAAUAAUUGUUCUAAAAUGGUUUGAAUGACAUUUGUUUAUUGCAGGGAUAGAGACAGAUAUGUUCAAGGAGAUUAUCGUUUUAGAUAUGGUUAGUGCAAGCAUAAUCCCCGGAAAAUGGUUACAACCUGGGCUGAAAAGGAAAUGAGAAAUCUUAAACAUUUCUCUGAAGUGGCGGCGGGGAAGCGGCCCUCGAUUGGGGCCAUGGUCCUCUCUCGGCGGGCAAGGAACAACGGCGGCCAGGGACUUGCCCAACUCCCGCACCGGAAUACAUGUAAAAUUUGAAACUUUCAAUAAAUUUAUCAUAUACU
Long non-coding RNA from Hordeum vulgare subsp. vulgare (domesticated barley), 312 nucleotides. RefSeq lists it as uncharacterized. The record is from RefSeq and is a predicted model, not a curated record. The transcript has 2 exons. NCBI's taxonomy places the organism in Eukaryota, Viridiplantae, Streptophyta, Magnoliopsida, Poales, Poaceae.